UUCAGAGGGGGACAACAGUUGGAAACGACUGCUAAUACCGCAUAAGACCACGGUGUGGCAUCACACAGAGGUCAAAGGAGAAAUCCGCUGAAGGAUGGGCUCGCGUCCAAUUAGCUAGAUGGUGAGGUAACGGCCCACCAUGGCGACGAUUGGUAGCCGGGCUGAGAGGUUGAUCGGCCACAUUGGGACUGAGACACGGCCCAGACUCCUACGGGAGGCAGCAGUGGGGAAUAUUGCACAAUGGAGGAAACUCUGAUGCAGCGACGCCGCGUGAGGGAAGAAGGUCUUCGGAUUGUAAACCUCUGUUGUCAGGGACGAUAAUGACGGUACCUGACGAGGAAGCCACGGAUAGCUACGUGCCAGCAGCCGCGGUAAAACGUAGGUGGCAAGCGUUGUCCGGAAUUACUGGGUGUAAAGGGAGCGCAGGCGGGAGAGCAAGUUGGAAGUGAAAUCUGUGGGCUCAACUCACAAAUUGCUUUCAAAACUGUUUUUCUUGAGUGGUGUAGAGGUAGGCGGAAUUCCCGGUGUAGCGGUGGAAUGCGUA
This 544-nucleotide ribosomal RNA is filed under the name uncultured bacterium. RNAcentral's name for it is "bacterial SSU rRNA". It matches the Rfam family "Bacterial small subunit ribosomal RNA", at positions 132 to 692 of the family's 1533-position model. The record is from RNAcentral.